UUUUUUUUCCUUUUUUCUGUUUUUUUAGUUUUAGGUUUAUGUUUAGUUUAGAUUUAGUUUUAGUUUUAGUUUUAGGUUUAGUUUUAGUUUAGUUUUAGGUUUAGAUUUAGUUUUUUUCCUUUUUUUCUGUUUUAUUAGUUUUAGGUUUAUGUUUAGUUUAGAUUUAGUUUUAGUUUUAGUUUUAGUUUUAGAUUUAGGUUUAGUUUUAGGUUUAGUUUUAGGUUUAGUUUAGUUUGAGGAAAGAAGAAGAAGAAGAGAAAAGGAGGAGAGGAGGAGAAGAAGAAGAGGAAAAAGGAAAGGAAGAAGAAGAAGAAGAGGAGGAGGAGAAGAAAAAAUAAGAUGAGGAAGAAGAAGAAGAAGAAAAAAGAGGAGAGGAGGAGAAGAAGAAGAGGAAAAAGGAAAGGAGGAAGAAGAAGAAGAAGAAGAAGAAGAAGAAGAAGGAAAAAAAGGAAG
Molecule: long non-coding RNA, 453 nt
Filed under: Triticum aestivum (bread wheat)
Lineage: Eukaryota; Viridiplantae; Streptophyta; Magnoliopsida; Poales; Poaceae
Description: long non-coding RNA (TAES_LNC013327)
Source: RNAcentral